GCAGAGCAUCCUACGGGAGGCAGCAGUGGGGAAUAUUGCACAAUGGGCGCAAGCCUGAUGCAGCCAUGCCGCGUGUAUGAAGAAGGCCUUCGGGUUGUAAAGUACUUUCAGCAGUGAGGAAGGUGGGUAUGUUAAUAGCAUACUCAUUUGACGUUAGCUGCAGAAGAAGCACCGGCUAACUCCGUGCCAGCAGCCGCGGUAAUACGGAGGGUGCGAGCGUUAAUCGGAAUUACUGGGCGUAAAGCGCAUGCAGGUGGUUUGUUAAGUCAGAUGUGAAAGCCCGGGGCUCAACCUCGGAAUUGCAUUUGAAACUGGCAAACUAGAGUACUGUAGAGGGGGUAGAAUUUCAGGUGUAGCGGUGAAAUGCGUAGAGAUCUGAAGGAAUACCGGUGGCGAAGGCGGCCCCCUGGACAGAUACUGACACUCAGAUGCGAAAGCGUGGGGAGCAAACAGGAUUAGAUACCCCGGUAG
RNAcentral lists this ribosomal RNA (471 nucleotides) under uncultured bacterium. Its description in RNAcentral is "bacterial SSU rRNA". It matches the Rfam family "Bacterial small subunit ribosomal RNA", at positions 329 to 793 of the family's 1533-position model. The record is from RNAcentral.